ACGUAGGGGGCAAGUGUUGUCCGGAUUUAUUGGGCGUAAAGAGCGUGUAAGCGGCCAGACAGGUCCGUUGUGAAAACUCGAGGCUCAACCUCGAGACGUCGAUGGAAACCGUCUGGCUAGAGUCCGGAAGAGGAGAGUGGAAUUCCUGGUGUAGCGGUGAAAUGCGCAGAUAUCAGGAAGAACACCUAUGGCGAAGGCAGCUCUCUGGGACGGUACUGACGCUGAGACGCGAAAGCGUGGGGAGCGAACAGGA
Molecule: ribosomal RNA, 253 nt
Filed under: uncultured prokaryote
Description: partial 16S ribosomal RNA
Rfam family: Bacterial small subunit ribosomal RNA
Source: RNAcentral